Gastrolobium bilobum is the source of this 107-nucleotide small nucleolar RNA. The record is from RefSeq and is a predicted model, not a curated record. Lineage: Eukaryota; Viridiplantae; Streptophyta; Magnoliopsida; Fabales; Fabaceae.
AAUCCAUGUUGUGGACACUUCCUGAGUAUUCCCUUGAACCUUUCCCAUGCUUCAUAAAGUGACUCAUUAUCCUUCUGAGAAAACCAUGAGAUAUCGGCUUUAAGUUU